Molecule: non-coding RNA, 23 nt
Filed under: Arabidopsis thaliana (thale cress)
Lineage: Eukaryota; Viridiplantae; Streptophyta; Magnoliopsida; Brassicales; Brassicaceae
Source: RNAcentral
UGCAAUGGACAUGCUCUUAGGAA